Long non-coding RNA from Myzus persicae (green peach aphid), 410 nucleotides. RefSeq lists it as uncharacterized. The record is from RefSeq and is a predicted model, not a curated record. NCBI's taxonomy places the organism in Eukaryota, Metazoa, Arthropoda, Insecta, Hemiptera, Aphididae. The transcript is spliced from 3 exons.
UAAUAUCGCGAUCACGCCAUCGCCCCUCUCCCCGCCACUUCAAGCUGCAGGCCAUCAGUAGUGUAUAUAAAGGAGUCCGAGAUCUCGAUUCCGGCAUAACACAUUUUUUGUGCAAAUAUAUUCUUUGUUUUCUCUUUUAAACCUAAAAAACCAACCAACAAAUCAAAAAUGGGCGCUGAAAAGGUAUCCAUGAACAUCGUUGUCGUCGGACAAGUCCAAUCUGCCAAGGCCAUCAAGACCGUCGCCAAGGCCUCCCCAGCCACCAACCAAUUGAUGAACUGUUAAUUCAUGUAGUCAAUCCAUUUCAAACUCAAAAAUGCCAUAGUCCAAACAAUACAAUAAUAUGUAACUCAUAAUAUCAGUAUUGCCACCGCAAAAUAAAUCAGUCACAUCCGAUGUACAUACAACAA